GCCCGUUAAUGGGUGAUGGCGUGCCUUUUGUAGAAUGAACCGGCGAGUUACGAUUUGAUGCAAGGUUAAGCAGUAAAUGUGGAGCCGUAGCGAAAGCGAGUCUGAAUAGGGCGUUUAGUAUUUGGUCGUAGACCCGAAACCAGGUGAUCUACCCUUGGUCAGGUUGAAGUUCAGGUAACACUGAAUGGAGGACCGAACCGACUUACGUUGAAAAGUGAGCGGAUGAACUGAGGGUAGCGGAGAAAUUCCAAUCGAACCUGGAGAUAGCUGGUUCUCUCCGAAAUAGCUUUAGGGCUAGCCUCAAGUGAUGAUUAUUGGAGGUAGAGCACUGUUUGGACGAGGGGCCCCUCUCGGGUUACCGAAUUCAGACAAACUCCGAAUGCCAAUUAAUUUAACUUGGGAGUCAGAACAUGGGUGAUAAGGUCCGUGUUCGAAAGGGAAACAGCCCAGACCACCAGCUAAGGUCCCAAAAUAUAUGUUAAGUGGAAAAGGAUGUGGCGUUGCCCAGACAACUAGGAUGUUGGCUUAGAAGCAGCCAUCAUUUAAAGAGUGCGUAAUAGCUCACUAGUCGAGUGACACUGCGCCGAAAAUGUACCGGGGCUAAACAUAUUACCGAAGCUGUGGAUUGUCCUUUGGACAAUGGUAGGAGAGCGUUCUAAGG
This 661-nucleotide ribosomal RNA is filed under the name Staphylococcus aureus. Its description in RNAcentral is "partial 23S ribosomal RNA". It matches the Rfam family "Bacterial large subunit ribosomal RNA", at positions 579 to 1246 of the family's 2925-position model. The record is from RNAcentral. Lineage: Bacteria; Bacillati; Bacillota; Bacilli; Caryophanales; Staphylococcaceae.